RNAcentral lists this ribosomal RNA (406 nucleotides) under uncultured bacterium. Its description in RNAcentral is "partial 16S ribosomal RNA". It matches the Rfam family "Bacterial small subunit ribosomal RNA", at positions 29 to 526 of the family's 1533-position model. The record is from RNAcentral.
AUUGAACGCUGGCGGCAGGCCUAACACAUGCAAGUCGAACGAGUGGCGAACGGGUGAGUCAUGUCUGGGAAACUGCCUGAUGGAGGGGGAUAACUACUGGAAACGGUAGCUACUAACGCAUACCCUCCGAUGUGCCCCGAUGGGAUUAGCGCGUUGGGGGGGUAACGGCUCACCAAGGCGACGCUCCCUAGCUGGUAUGAGAGGAUGACAGGCCACACUGGAACUGAGACACGGUCCAGACUCCUACGGGAGGCAGCAGUGGGGAAUAUUGCACAAUGGGCGCAAGCCUGAUGCAGACAGGCCGCGGGGAUGAAGAAGGCCUUCGGGUUGUAAAGUACUGUCAGCGGGGAGGCGUUACCCGCAGAAGAAGCACCGGCUAACUCCGUGCCAGCAGCCGCGGUAAUAC